GACGAACGCUGGCGGCGUGCUUAACACAUGCAAGUCGAACGGAAAGGCCCUGCUUUUGUGGGGUGCUCGAGUGGCGAACGGGUGAGUAACACGUGAGUAACCUGCCCUUGACUUUGGGAUAACUUCAGGAAACUGGGGCUAAUACCGGAUAGGAGCUCCUGCUGCAUGGUGGGGGUUGGAAAGUUUCGGCGGUUGGGGAUGGACUCGCGGCUUAUCAGCUUGUUGGUGGGGUAGUGGCUUACCAAGGCUUUGACGGGUAGCCGGCCUGAGAGGGUGACCGGCCACAUUGGGACUGAGAUACGGCCCAGACUCCUACGGGAGGCAGCAGUGGGGAAUAUUGCACAAUGGGCGGGAGCCUGAUGCAGCAACGCCGCGUGCGGGAUGACGGCCUUCGGGUUGUAAACCGCUUUCGCCUGUGACGAAGCGUGAGUGACGGUAAUGGGUAAAGAAGCGCCGGCUAACUACGUG
This 468-nucleotide ribosomal RNA is filed under the name uncultured bacterium. Its description in RNAcentral is "partial 16S ribosomal RNA". It matches the Rfam family "Bacterial small subunit ribosomal RNA", at positions 28 to 507 of the family's 1533-position model. The record is from RNAcentral.